GACGAACGCUGGCGGCGUGCUUAACACAUGCAAGUCGAACGGAAAGGCCCUGCUUUUGUGGGGUGCUCGAGUGGCGAACGGGUGAGUAACACGUGAGUAACCUGCCCUUGACUUUGGGAUAACUUCAGGAAACUGGGGCUAAUCCCGGAUAGGAGCUCCUGCUGCAUGGUGGGGGUUGGAAAGUUUCGGCGGUCGGGGUUGGACUCGCGGCUUAUCAGCUUGUUGGUGGGGUAGUGGCUUACCAAGGCUUUGACGGGUAGCCGGCCUGAGAGGGUGACCGGCCACAUUGGGACUGAGAUACGGCCCAGACUCCUACGGGAGGCAGCAGUGGGGAAUAUUGCACAAUGGGCGGAAGCCUGAUGCAGCAACGCCGCGUGCGGGAUGACGGCCUUCGGGUUGUAAACCGCUUUCGCCUGUGACGAAGCUUGAGUGACGGUAAUGGGUAAAGAAGCACCGGCUAACUACGUG
RNAcentral lists this ribosomal RNA (468 nucleotides) under uncultured bacterium. RNAcentral's name for it is "partial 16S ribosomal RNA". It matches the Rfam family "Bacterial small subunit ribosomal RNA", at positions 28 to 507 of the family's 1533-position model. The record is from RNAcentral.